This 376-nucleotide ribosomal RNA is filed under the name uncultured bacterium. RNAcentral's name for it is "bacterial SSU rRNA". It matches the Rfam family "Bacterial small subunit ribosomal RNA", at positions 29 to 402 of the family's 1533-position model. The record is from RNAcentral.
AAUGAACGCUGGCGGCGCGCCUAAUACAUGCAAGUCGAGCGAGAAGACGUAGCAAUACGCUUGUAAAGCGGCGAGCGGGUGAGGAAUACAUGGGUAACCUACCCUAGAGUGGGGAAUAACUAGCCGAAAGGUUAGCUAAUACCGCGUACGCUCCUUGGACUUCGGUUCAGGGAGGAAAGCGAUGCCGAGGGUAUCGCGCUCUUGGAUGGGCUCAUGUCCUAUCAGCUUGUUGGUGAGGUAACGGCUCACCAAGGCUUCGACGGGUAGCUGGUCUGAGAGGACGAUCAGCCACACUGGCACUGCGACACGGCAGACUCUACGGGAGCAGCAGUAAGAUAUUGCGCAAUGGGCGAAAGCCUGACGCAGCGACGCGCGU